AAAAAUUAAGUAUAUAGAAAGUAGAAAAAAAUAAUCUCUAGAAACUGAUGGCUUGUUAAUACACAAAAUCAAUAAAAGAUAUUACUGGAAACGCAAUUAAACAAGUCUUUUAUGGUAAUUAAUUUUAUACAUGAAAAUUUAACUUACUUUCAUUGUUGUGUAUGUAUAUAUUAGCUAACUUGAACUUGCAACUGGCAGUGAGCUCUCAAGAACCCACAGAAAAGACCUUUAAAAUUGAAUGGUGAUUAUUAUAACUUCGCUAGCAGUCCCACAGGAUCACCUCCAGUCGGGGUGGCGGUGGAUGGACGAAGGGGAAUAUCGAAAGAGCUUAAAGGUUAUGGUGGUGGU
This 348-nucleotide long non-coding RNA is filed under the name Olea europaea (common olive). RNAcentral's name for it is "long non-coding RNA (OEUR_LNC010543)". The record is from RNAcentral. Lineage: Eukaryota; Viridiplantae; Streptophyta; Magnoliopsida; Lamiales; Oleaceae.